CUGUGCUUGCACCGCGGACUUUGCGUCAUUGUCGCGUUCGUGUCGCGAACGGUGGGGGCCAUCCCUGUACUUUCGGACUGCCACGUCUACUGCCAAGAAGAAACCUCAUGGAGGCCCCCGUGUCGUCUGCGAGCGCCCCAGCAGGGAAUGCUUCCUCGUCCGGAGGGGCCGGCCGGGGCGGGCGCGGUAUGUUUCGAGGUGGUCGCGGCACCAAUGACCGCCGCGGUCGCGGUCGCGGGUGGUCGCACGGCGGCCAGGACGCCUUCCGAGGGCAUGGCAGAGAUUGGGGCGAUGCUCGGGGUCGCGGCGACACUCGCGGGCGAGGCCGACGCAACGGGCCGCCUAAAGAUCGCGGCUUCAUGCCAAAGAAGUUCAUGCGCCACCGCUCUCUCUCGGGGAAGCACGGCUCUCACUCACCACUUCAUGCGGAACGGACGGCGAAGCGCGCGAAGAAAGAUAUGAAGCCCAACUCCAACUUUGCCCUCUUGCGCUCCACGCUGGGCGACGCGGAAACGAUCGCCGAGUACAUCCGCGAUUACCACGCAAGCAAAAAGUUCCGUGAAGUCAAGUCCGUCAACACUUUCCUGCAAGCCGUAAGCCAGCGGCCCAAAGCAGUCUACGUGGAGCUCAUGUCACAGUACAAGGACGAGGUUUUUACGACUCUCGAGCGCCUCUUUGCCUUGUACGCGCUUGGCAAAAGCCCCAUGAUCCCGCCAGCGCAUGAGUUUCUGAUCCGCUGCGAGCAAGAGGGUGUGCGCAAGUCGGCGUGGGGUGAGGGUGUUCGUACACUGCCCGUAAAGGCGGCGGAGGCAGAUGCCGCCAUCCCUGCGGAGGGCGAGGCGGAGGACUUGGCGCCGCCACCUCAGCCACCGGCGCCGGUGGCGCCUCCGCUGGACGCAGAGGCGGCAUCGCUUCUCUCACCUCGCGAGCUUCUCAAGAAACUAGCCUCCCUUGACGUUGUUGGUCGCCUUCAGCGGCUGAUCGAGAUGUCGACGUCCGUCGCAGAUAUUCAGGUGUGCGCCAAGAAACUGACAGCCUUGAUCACCGACGCGCAGGACGACGUUGAGAAGGACAGCGUGAUCCCCACGCCCUCCGCGGAGAAGUUCGACUAUGCAGCCAAGUGCCAGCUAAUCAGCAAGCUGCUGUCGAAGGCGCGUCGACUUGUAGAACCGACGUUUGCACCGCCGCCAAGGGCUGCAGCAAAAGGCGCCUCGGAUACCCACGUCGAGGAACCGGCCGAAGAGGCGACAGUGCGGAGUAGUGAGCAGGUGUUCGGCGGGGACGACGAGGAGGGGCUGCCACGGACAGCAGCCGAAGCCGCUUCCUCAGGCACUUCUGCCACCGCAGUGGACCAUGCAGCCCUCGCCGUCACUCAACGCCGCGUCCCUCUUACUGACGACGAGAUCGAGGGCUUUCAGGCGGCCAUCUCUGCGGCCUUUCAUGCGUUGGAGACGGUGCUGGAGCAGCGCCCGCCGAACGUCACGCAGCAGCCCCUCUCCAAGUUUUGCAAGGUGCUGGAGUGGUGCAAGGAGAAAGGCCUGCUGGCCGCUGCGGACGAGCGAUUCGCGACGCUGCUGGAGCAGCAGGCGGAGAAUGACAUUGCGGAGCAGGCGAACCAGAUCGAGACGGUGAUCAGCCUCAAGUCUCUGACACCCGGUGACACAGCCGCACUGCGCGAGGUGGUCGAUCAACUGUGGGAGGCCGGGGGCACGCUUUGCUUCUCGCCAUCAAGCAUGGAUGUGCUCUCUGCCAUUGCCGUUGCCGCGUCUGCCGAUGACAUCGAUGCUGAUGUGAAGCGGCUGAUUGCGGACCGUCUUGUGCAGACGCAGCGUCAUCUUGCGGACACGGUGGCGCUACCGCGCCGAGCACUGCGCUUCGUGAACGGCGAGCGCAACAAGGUGAAGCAGGCCGCCAUCGCAAAGCAGCUGCAGGUGGAGGCAAGCAAGUACAAGACAGAGGGCCACGAAUGAGAGCGAGAGGGAUUCCGGUGAUGUGGCGCGCGUGCGCGCCGCGGCGUUUGCGACCUUUCACACCCGCACAUAAACGCGCGCGUGUGUGUGUGUUGGGGGGGGAAUAGGCGGUGCGCGGGUCGAGCGCAUGCAUUUCCGUCUCUGUUUCUCGAUGGCUGCGUGUCGAGUGCAGCGCAGGUCUCCCUCUUUGCUUCUCUGGGUUUAACUCGGAUGAGCAGACGCGUAACAACCGAAAAGGAAAAAUAAAACUAACGGGCCGGAGCGCUUUCUUUGUUGUUCCCACUCGUUCGGGUUGGGUGUAGGCGUGUACGAGAACCUAGAGAGGCUAUGAGCCAACGU
Molecule: unclassified non-coding RNA, 2309 nt
Filed under: Leishmania donovani
Lineage: Eukaryota; Euglenozoa; Kinetoplastea; Trypanosomatida; Trypanosomatidae
Description: gene:LdHU3.36.7090(CDS-product:hypothetical_prote in_conserved)
Source: RNAcentral